Molecule: ribosomal RNA, 600 nt
Filed under: uncultured organism
Description: bacterial SSU rRNA
Rfam family: Bacterial small subunit ribosomal RNA
Source: RNAcentral
GCCGGAGGUUACGCAGUAAGUACCACGCCUGGGGAGUACGGUCGCAAGACUGAAACUCGAAGGAACUGACGGGGGCCCGCACAAACGGUGGAGCAUCUGGUUAAAUUCGACGCAACGCGCAGAACCUUACCCAGGUAUUGACAAGCACCGGCACUGCGAGGAGAGUCGCUGGCCCGUUUGAGGUCGGUGCACAGAGUACUGCAUGCCGGUGGUCAGUCUCGCGUCGUGAGAUGUUGGAGAAGUCCCGACACGAGCGCAAUCCUUAUCCGUAGUUGCUCACAGUUGAUGAUGGGGAUUCUACGGGCAAUAUUGGUGUGAAACCGGUGGAAGAUGAGUAUGACGUCAAGUCCUCUUGCCCCUUACGCGUCGGGGUACACACAGUGCUAUAAUGGUGCGGACAACGGGGGCGACACUGCGAGGGGGACGUAUCCGUGACCGCGGUCUCAGUUCGGAUUGGAGUCUGCCAUUGGACUCCAUGAAGACGAUUCGUUAGUAAUCACGGAUCAGCAUCACCCGGUGUAUACGUUCCCGGGCUUUGUACACACCGCCCUUCACACCACUAAACCUGAUAAUAUCCCCAACUCACCGGGCCUACUCGCA